AUGGAACAUGUCGUUCAAGAAGCCAAAGUUGCUUGCUCCAAUGACAAGUAUGGAUGUGCGGAGAAGGUCACCUACUACAAGAAAGAAGAACACAAGAAGGCAUGCCCGUAUGUCCCAUGCUUCUGCCCACAGUCUGGUUGUGGCUUCGCUGGGUCAACAAAGGUGCUCCUGGACCAUUUCACUACCCAACACAAGUGUCCGUCAACAACUCUCCCAGACUCCGGCACGGUGUAUCUUCGCCUACAACCAGGCUUACAUGUUCUGCGAUGCACCGGCUACUUUUUCUUGCUCAGCAUGGCAUCAGAGCCUUUUGGACAUGCCAUUUCAGUCCUCUGCGUCCAACCAAUAGUUAUGGAACCCAAGUUCAAAUGUAAUAUGGAAUACGACUGCUUAACCACCGGCUCUUGUGAAAGUACAAAUUGCCUCAUAAGAAGCUCUUCACUCUCUGAUGGACUACCCGCAGUGUAUGACUUAAUAAUUCCCAAGGGAAAGAUUUCUGAUGAUGGAAACGGUAUCAUGCUCAGAGCCACCAUUCUCAGCAGAUCAUGUCUUCAAGGGAAGGGCCUGACUGCUGAUCUUCAAGGAAUGCCUUAUACUAAAAAUGCUAUUGCUGCUGCUGUUGCCCCCGCUACUGCUGCGUCUGUUGCCCCCGCUACUGCUGCUGCUGCUGCCACCGCUCCUGCUGCUUCUGUUGCCCCAGCUACUGCUGCCCCUGUUGCCCCUGCUAAUGCUGCUCCUGCUGCUGAUACGUCUCGACGAGAAGGAGAAAGAGGACGAGGAAGAAGAGGAGGCAGAGGAGGAAGAGGAGGAGCAGUAGGACGAGGACAAGGGCCAUGGCGAGGACGGGGACGAGGAUGA
Molecule: ribosomal RNA, 858 nt
Filed under: Triticum aestivum (bread wheat)
Lineage: Eukaryota; Viridiplantae; Streptophyta; Magnoliopsida; Poales; Poaceae
Description: partial small subunit ribosomal RNA
Source: RNAcentral